ACUUGAUCCAUCGUCCUUGAUUCUGUUCCUCUUAUGUAUUUGUUACAUAGAAUGCCCCUGCCUGCAGAACCCAUGCUCCCGCGCAUUAAAUUUCCCUUGUUACAGGUACCGGUUGGCUGAAGGAUCGGUCAUAAUGCAGGCUUGUAAGAUGCAAGGAAGUAAGCGAUAAAUACGUUUUUGGUGGAUGUGAAAAGCCAGAAGCUGACAAGUGGGGAUUCAUGUCCUGAUUAGCCAAAUCGCAACUAAUCAGGUAUCCAUUCUAGUUCUAUUGGUUUGCAGAUUCUUUCUGUUAAUUUGUUUUUCUAGGCAGGAGAUGCGUUUAGUAGCAUC
This is a long non-coding RNA of Juglans microcarpa x Juglans regia, 330 nucleotides long. RefSeq lists it as uncharacterized. The record is from RefSeq and is a predicted model, not a curated record. Lineage: Eukaryota; Viridiplantae; Streptophyta; Magnoliopsida; Fagales; Juglandaceae. The transcript has 3 exons.